This 510-nucleotide ribosomal RNA is filed under the name uncultured bacterium. Its description in RNAcentral is "partial 16S ribosomal RNA". It matches the Rfam family "Bacterial small subunit ribosomal RNA", at positions 28 to 507 of the family's 1533-position model. The record is from RNAcentral.
GACGAACGCUGGCGGCGUGCUUAACACAUGCAAGUCGAACGAAGAGCGAUGGAAGCUUGCUUCUAUCAAUCUUAGUGGCGAACGGGUGAGUAACGCGUAAUCAACCUGCCCUUCAGAGGGGGACAACAGUUGGAAACGACUGCUAAUACCGCAUACGAUCUAAUCUCGGCAUCGAGGAUAGAUGAAAGGUGGCCUCUACAUGUAAGCUAUCACUGAAGGAGGGGAUUGCGUCUGAUUAGCUAGUUGGAGGGGUAACGGCCCACCAAGGCGAUGAUCAGUAGCCGGGCUGAGAGGAGGAACGGCGACAUUGGGACUGAGACACGGCCCAGACUCCUACGGGAGGCAGCAGUGGGGAAUCUUCCGCAAUGGACGAAAGUCUGACGGAGCAACGCCGCGUGAGUGAUGACGGCCUUCGGGUUGUAAAGCUCGGUUAAUCGGGACGAAAGGCCUUCUUGCGAAUAGUGAGAAGGAUUGACGGUACCGGAAUAGAAAGCCACGGCUAACUACGUG